This 520-nucleotide unclassified non-coding RNA is filed under the name uncultured Diversispora. Its description in RNAcentral is "SSU rRNA". It matches the Rfam family "Eukaryotic small subunit ribosomal RNA", at positions 569 to 1091 of the family's 1831-position model. The record is from RNAcentral. Lineage: Eukaryota; Fungi; Glomeromycota; Glomeromycetes; Diversisporales; Diversisporaceae.
AGCAGCCGCGGUAAUUCCAGCUCCAAUAGCGUAUAUUAAAGUUGUUGCAGUUAAAAAGCUCGUAGUUGAAUUUCGGGAUCAAUAUAUCGGUCGUGCCUUGGUACGUACUGGUAUCAUUGGUUUCUCCUUUCUGACGAACCAUGAUGUCAUUAAUUUGGUGUUAUGGGAAGUUAGGACUGUUACUUUGAAAAAAUUAGAGUGUUUAAAGCAGGCUUUAGCUUGAAUACAUUAGCAUGGAAUAAUGAAAUAGGACGUUCGAACCUAUUUUGUUGGUUUCUAGGAUCAACGUAAUGAUUAAUAGGGAUAGUUGGGGGCAUUAGUAUUCAAUUGUCAGAGGUGAAAUUCUUGGAUUUAUUGAAGACUAACUACUGCGAAAGCAUUUGCCAAGGAUGUUUUCAUUAAUCAAGAACGAAAGUUAGGGGAUCGAAGACGAUCAGAUACCGUCGUAGUCUUAACCAUAAACUAUGCCGACUAGGGAUCGGAUGAUGUUAAUUUUUUAAUGACUCGUUUGGCACCUUAC